Molecule: long non-coding RNA, 752 nt
Organism: Stegostoma tigrinum
Lineage: Eukaryota; Metazoa; Chordata; Chondrichthyes; Orectolobiformes; Stegostomatidae
Exons: 4
Source: RefSeq, a predicted model, not a curated record
UCUCUGAGAGACUUUUUUCUGAUGUUUCGUAUUCAAAAUGGUGAGACAGGGCAAUGUCACAGGACACACUUCAAAAUCAAGGCCCUAAAUUUUCUUGGGGGUCAGCACGGUUGCUCGCUGGCUAGCACUACUGCUUCACAGCGCCAGGAACCCAGGAUCUAACUGCACUCUUGGCUGGCUGUCUGUGUGAGGCUGAACUUGAAGGGAGCUACAAUUCACCUCAGAUGCUGCUGCUCUUACUUUCUCAUCCACUUCGAAAUGAUAUUCACCUAGAGGACAUCCAAAACUGCCAGAAAAGCAUCUUUGAAGUCUUGGAGGAUGUGUCCAACAACUAACAGCUUGGUGGCCUGAGAAACACUGUGAAUCUCUUCUGGCAUGUGUAGCUUGAGCAGUCUGAGCUUUAGACUUGCUGUGGUCAAGCCCAAGCCUGGAUACUGUUUGGACAUUGGCGCAUUGAACACGGACUGCUUCAAUAUCUGAGGAGUCACGCAUGGUGCUGAACAAUGUGCAAUCAUCUGCGAACAUCCCUACUUCUGACCUUAUGAUGGAGGGAAGGUUCAUCAAAAUGGCGAAAGAAAGAAGUCAGAAAUGACUGUGAUGAGAUAUCGAGAUGCCCAAGUAGUCAGUUGUGGGUGUGCGUGAGAAGGCUCUCUAGCAGCAAGCUUUUAUCGAAGACAAAGUUGCACUAUUACUGGAGGGAAUUAUGCCGUAAAUAAAGCACGACAGUGAUGUGUAUACCCGCUGCAUUAUGU